UACAGCCUGUAGAAGUCUUUUGUCCUGUAAAAGUAUAACGAAUUGUACUGGGUCGUGCGAACUUAUCACAAGGAUCCUUACCAAGUAUGAGACACAAAUUGUUGGUCGCAAUCAUCCCGGUGAACAGGAAGGACAGUGGUAGUACCUACGAGUGAACAUUAUGUAAUAUGAUGUAAAUUGUUAUUUUCAUAGAUGACGUUUGUAACGUUUA
Long non-coding RNA from Ceratina calcarata, 211 nucleotides. RefSeq lists it as uncharacterized. Lineage: Eukaryota; Metazoa; Arthropoda; Insecta; Hymenoptera; Apidae. The transcript is spliced from 2 exons. The record is from RefSeq and is a predicted model, not a curated record.